This 605-nucleotide ribosomal RNA is filed under the name uncultured Gammaproteobacteria bacterium. Its description in RNAcentral is "bacterial SSU rRNA". It matches the Rfam family "Bacterial small subunit ribosomal RNA", at positions 35 to 638 of the family's 1533-position model. Lineage: Bacteria; Pseudomonadati; Pseudomonadota; Gammaproteobacteria. The record is from RNAcentral.
GCUGGCGGCAGGCCUAACACAUGCAAGUCGAGCGCGAAAGCACUUCGGUGUGAGUAAAGCGGCGGACGGGUGAGUAACGCGUAGGAAUCUACCUAGUAGUGGGGGACAACUCGGGGAAACUCGAGCUAAUACCGCAUACGCCCUACGGGGGAAAGCGGGGGACCUUCGGGCCUCGUGCUAUUAGAUGAGCCUGCGUUGGAUUAUCUAGUUGGUGGGGUAAAGGCCUACCAAGGCGACGAUCCAUAGCUGGUCUGAGAGGAUGAUCAGCCACACCGGGACUGAGACACGGCCCGGACUCCUACGGGAGGCAGCAGUGGGGAAUAUUGCGCAAUGGGCGAAAGCCUGACGCAGCCAUGCCGCGUGUGUGAAGAAGGCCUUCGGGUUGUAAAGCACUUUCAAUUGGGAGGAAAGGUUCACGGUUAAUAACCGUGAACUGUGACGUUACCUUUAGAAGAAGCACCGGCUAACUCCGUGCCAGCAGCCGCGGUAAUACGGAGGGUGCAAGCGUUAAUCGGAAUUACUGGGCGUAAAGCGCGCGUAGGUGGUCUGUUAAGUCGGAUGUGAAAGCCCCGGGCUCAACCUGGGAACUGCAUCCGAUACUGGCA